GAACGAUGAACCGCUUUCGGGCGGGGAUUAGUGGCGAACGGGUGAGUAACACGUGGGCAAUCUGCCCUGCACUCUGGGACAAGCCCUGGAAACGGGGUCUAAUACCGGAUACGACACUCUCGGGCAUCCGAUGAGUGUGGAAAGCUCCGGCGGUGCAGGAUGAGCCCGCGGCCUAUCAGCUUGUUGGUGAGGUAACGGCUCACCAAGGCGACGACGGGUAGCCGGCCUGAGAGGGCGACCGGCCACACUGGGACUGAGACACGGCCCAGACUCCUACGGGAGGCAGCAGUGGGGAAUAUUGCACAAUGGGCGAAAGCCUGAUGCAGCGACGCCGCGUGAGGGAUGACGGCCUUCGGGUUGUAAACCUCUUUCAGCAGGGAAGAAGCGAAAGUGACGGUACCUGCAGAAGAAGCGCCGGCUAACUACGUGCCAGCAGCCGCGGUAAUACGUAGGGCGCAAGCGUUGUCCGGAAUUAUUGGGCGUAAAGAGCUCGUAGGCGGCUUGUCACGUCGGUUGUGAAAGCCCGGGGCUUAACCCCGGGUCUGCAGUCGAUACGGGCAGGCUAGAGUUCGGUAGGGGAGAUCGGAAUUCCUGGUGUAGCGGUGAAAUGCGCAGAUAUCAGGAGGAACACCGGUGGCGAAGGCGGAUCUCUGGGCCGAUACUGACGCUGAGGAGCGAAAGCGUGGGGAGCGAACAGGAUUAGAUACCCUGGUAGUCCACGCCGUAAACGGUGGGCACUAGGUGUGGGCAACAUUCCACGUUGUCCGUGCCGCAGCUAACGCAUUAAGUGCCCCGCCUGGGGGAGUACGGCCGCAAGGCUAAAACUCAAAGGAAUUGACGGGGGCCCCGCA
This 851-nucleotide ribosomal RNA is filed under the name Streptomyces sp. DST16. RNAcentral describes it as "bacterial SSU rRNA". It matches the Rfam family "Bacterial small subunit ribosomal RNA", at positions 64 to 927 of the family's 1533-position model. The record is from RNAcentral. Lineage: Bacteria; Bacillati; Actinomycetota; Actinomycetes; Kitasatosporales; Streptomycetaceae.